AUUGAACGCUGGCGGCAGGCCUAACACAUGCAAGUCGAGCGAGCGACGGACGGGUGCGUACUGUCUGGGAAACUGCCUGAUGGCGGGGGAUAACAACUGGAAACGGUAGCUAAUCCCGCACACCAUCCGAUUUGCCCAGAUGGGAUUAGCUAGAAGGUGGGGUAACGGCUCACCUAGGCGACGAUCCCUAGCUGGUCUUAAAGGAUGACCAUCCACACUGGAACUGAGACACGGUCCAGACUCCUACGGGAGGCAGCAGUGGGGAAUAUUGCACAAUGGGCGAAAGCCUGAUGCAGCCAUGCCGCGUGUGUGAAGAAGGCCUUCGGGUUGUAAAGCACUUUCAGCGGGGAGGCGUUACCCGCAGAAGAAGCACCGGCUAACUCCGUGCCAGCAGCCGCGGUAAUAC
This 406-nucleotide ribosomal RNA is filed under the name uncultured bacterium. RNAcentral describes it as "partial 16S ribosomal RNA". It matches the Rfam family "Bacterial small subunit ribosomal RNA", at positions 30 to 526 of the family's 1533-position model. The record is from RNAcentral.